Molecule: ribosomal RNA, 759 nt
Filed under: Bacillus cereus
Lineage: Bacteria; Bacillati; Bacillota; Bacilli; Caryophanales; Bacillaceae
Description: bacterial SSU rRNA
Rfam family: Bacterial small subunit ribosomal RNA
Source: RNAcentral
CGGGGUGCCUAUACAUGCAGUCGAGCGAAUGGAUUAAGAGCUUGCUCUUAUGAAGUUAGCGGCGGACGGGUGAGUAACACGUGGGUAACCUGCCCAUAAGACUGGGAUAACUCCGGGAAACCGGGGCUAAUACCGGAUAACAUUUUGAACCGCAUGGUUCGAAAUUGAAAGGCGGCUUCGGCUGUCACUUAUGGAUGGACCCGCGUCGCAUUAGCUAGUUGGUGAGGUAACGGCUCACCAAGGCAACGAUGCGUAGCCGACCUGAGAGGGUGAUCGGCCACACUGGGACUGAGACACGGCCCAGACUCCUACGGGAGGCAGCAGUAGGGAAUCUUCCGCAAUGGACGAAAGUCUGACGGAGCAACGCCGCGUGAGUGAUGAAGGCUUUCGGGUCGUAAAACUCUGUUGUUAGGGAAGAACAAGUGCUAGUUGAAUAAGCUGGCACCUUGACGGUACCUAACCAGAAAGCCACGGCUAACUACGUGCCAGCAGCCGCGGUAAUACGUAGGUGGCAAGCGUUAUCCGGAAUUAUUGGGCGUAAAGCGCGCGCAGGUGGUUUCUUAAGUCUGAUGUGAAAGCCCACGGCUCAACCGUGGAGGGUCAUUGGAAACUGGGAGACUUGAGUGCAGAAGAGGAAAGUGGAAUUCCAUGUGUAGCGGUGAAAUGCGUAGAGAUAUGGAGGAACACCAGUGGCGAAGGCGACUUUCUGGUCUGUAACUGACACUGAGGCGCGAAAGCGUGGGGAGCAAACAGGAUUAG